UUUCACUUCAUCUCCUCACCCAGUUUGUCCCUAACCCUAGAACCCGCCGCCCAAAAUUCCUAAGACCAUCCGCCAGCAAUGACACCCCCAUACCACUUCAAUUAGCACCCCUCCAUCCCCUCAUCCCAAAUCCCCAACCCGCUUCUUUAAAACCAUCAUAAAGCUCCUCGAAUUCCGAUCCAAAAUCGGAUCCCCAAAAUCCUAACUCACCCAAACCCGCCCAAAUUAACAUCCUACAGUCCACAGGCUUCCCCAAACCUAAAGCCCUGGAUUAUUUUCCCAAGCGAGCUCUAGAUUUUAUCAAAUUUGGAAUUUAGGUUUUGACAUAAUUUCGGAGUUGCACUCGUGUCAAAGUCUUCUGCUCAUCAGGGUUUGAGGCUCGCCUUGGUAGAGCACUCUUGAUUGAGGGAGUUUAUUAGGGUGAGUUUCUGGCGUCGAUGAAGCAUAUCAAGCGUGGCCAGUUUUUCAUCUUUGUUUCCUUUGCCACUACUCGAUGAUUUCUUAGGUUAAUCGUUCAUAUUUGUUUCUUUUCUUUUGUUGUUAUUUGUUUGUUUCUGUUUUCGUCAUCUUUUGAUUUUUUUCCUUUUAUUUCUUUCUUUUCAAAUUCAUUUUUGCUUGUAUGAUAGAGCAUAUUAGUUUAUAAUUGUUUAAAUUAGUAAUAAUAGUUUAGCAGUAGUUAAUUUAGAAGGUGGGCUUGCUAGUUCAAAAGCACAAAGGUUGUUAAAGUCUGCUAAUGUAGAAACCCAAGUGCAUUCGGGGUAGUCUAUGGUUUGUCUAAAGUAAUUAUCAUGCCUUUGAGGGGUAGUUAGGGAAAUUGGAUAGAGGGAAUCUUUCCUAACUACUUGGGAAUGUUCCAGGAAGGUGGGGAAUGGGUAGUUCAGCAAAUAUGUUUAAAAUGCAAGGUUGAAAAUGAACAAAAGAAAUUGAAUAGGGGAGGGUAGUGAAUGAAUAAAAACUAACCACUGCUGCCCUAAAACACCUCUAUAAAGGUCUAAUUUCUUUGAUUUGAGGGAAGCGAAUCGAAUACAAAAGCUGAACAAUGGUUGAAAGUUUUUCAAUGAUCACACUCUGCAUCUAGAAUUUCAAAAUUAGUAAAGAAAAUUAAAAAAAAAAGAAUCAUAAAAAAGGUUAUUUUAUCAAGCUAAAGCCAUUUUUGAUUUUCAUAUGAAAACUAGACGAACUUUUGGGAAAUUUUGAAAUAUAAAGAAACUGAAGUAUGGCUUAAGUAGAGGAGCUGUGCUAUUGUUGUUGGGUUUCUAUUCACUUCUUCUCUGCUGCUGACUCUUGGAUUUUAUUUCUUAAUGCCCUUUUGUUCUUUCAUUUGUUUAAACGUACUAAUAACUGAUGAUGUGUAUCACUUAGUCAUAAUGUAGGUUGGAAGAAUAGAAUUGGUUUUGUACUUCAUGUGGAGUGUAAUAGUCUUGCUAUACUUGGACAUCAUGGCGUUUAUGCACUGUGUUUGAAUCUGGAUUGUAUAUUAACUUUGUAUGUUGGCGUGGAUAAGUGUUUUUGAUUAAAUCAUGCUAAAUGCUAAUAUCAUUUAAGGAUAGUUUGAAAUUAAAAUGGGUGCUAAACAAUUUCAUGUUUGGUUAAGAUUAGUUGUAUGUGCGAAAUAUACAUGCUGUUGCUAUUAAUAUGAACCAUUCAAGGUCAACUUGUAAUCUGGAUACCUAUAUAUUUUUUAUAUUCGUAACUGCUGUAUUAUUUUACUAAAAGUGAGUUAAAGGGGGUGAAUUAAGUCUAAGAGGGCCUUAUGUUGAAGUACUCAUUUGAUUAAGGUUAUUGGGCCAGCCUUGACCCACAUCUGGUGAUCAAUUGAAAUCUUGUUAAACAAUAUUUCAUGGUUUUCUGUUACAAUCUUACAUUUUCGUAUGUUAAAAGUUUUGUCUUCGAUUAACCGACGUAGAAUUGAUGAUGUGAUUCUCUUGACGUUAACAUAUUAACAAGCGAUAAAUAAGUGGUACGAGGGAUAAAAGGGUACACGAAUUAACGAUAAUGAGUUUCGUUGAAAGUGGAUAAUUUGAAAUGAAAUACGG
RNAcentral lists this long non-coding RNA (2036 nucleotides) under Nicotiana benthamiana. RNAcentral describes it as "long non-coding RNA (NBEN_LNC006474)". The record is from RNAcentral. Lineage: Eukaryota; Viridiplantae; Streptophyta; Magnoliopsida; Solanales; Solanaceae.